AUUGAACGCUGGCGGCAGGCCUAACACAUGCAAGUCGAGCGGAUGAAGGGAGCUUGCUCCUGGAUUCAGCGGCGGACGGGUGAGUAAUGCCUAGGAAUCUGCCUGGUAGUGGGGGAUAACGUCCGGAAACGGGCGCUAAUACCGCAUACGUCCUGAGGGAGAAAGUGGGGGAUCUUCGGACCUCACGCUAUCAGAUGAGCCUAGGUCGGAUUAGCUAGUUGGUGGGGUAAAGGCCUACCAAGGCGACGAUCCGUAACUGGUCUGAGAGGAUGAUCAAUCACACUGGAACUGAGACACGGUCCAGACUCCUACGGGAGGCAGCAGUGGGGAAUAUUGGACAAAGGGCGAAAGCCUGAUCCAGCCAUGCCGCGUGUGUGAAGAAGGUCUUCGGAUUGUAAAGCACUUUAAGUUGGGAGGAAGGGCAGUAAGUUAAUACCUUGCUGUUUUGACGUUACCAACAGAAUAAGCACCGGCUAACUUCGUG
Molecule: ribosomal RNA, 484 nt
Filed under: uncultured bacterium
Lineage: Bacteria
Description: partial 16S ribosomal RNA
Rfam family: Bacterial small subunit ribosomal RNA
Source: RNAcentral